CCUACGGGAGGCAGCAGUGAGGAAUAUUGGGCAAUGGAGGCAACUCUGACCCAGCCAUGCCGCGUGAGUGAAGAAGGUUUUCGGAUUGUAAAGCUCUUUCGGAUGUGACGAUGAUGACGGUAGCAUCUAAAGAAGCCCCGGCUAACUUCGUGCCAGCAGCCGCGGUAAUACGAAGGGGGCAAGCGUUAUCCGGAUUUAUUGGGUUUAAAGGGUGCGUAGGCGGUCGGAUAAGUUAGAGGUGAAAUCCCGAGGCUCAACUUCGGAAUUGCCUCUGAUACUGUUCGGCUAGAGAGUAGUUGCGGUAGGCGGAAUGUAUGGUGUAGCGGUGAAAUGCUUAGAGAUCAUACAGAACACCGAUUGCGAAGGCAGCUUACCAAGCUACUUCUGACGUUGAGGCACGAAAGCGUGGGGAGCAAACAGGAUUAGAUACCCUUGUAGUC
RNAcentral lists this ribosomal RNA (440 nucleotides) under uncultured bacterium. Its description in RNAcentral is "partial 16S ribosomal RNA". It matches the Rfam family "Bacterial small subunit ribosomal RNA", at positions 338 to 795 of the family's 1533-position model. The record is from RNAcentral.